CCUACGGGAGGCAGCAGUAAGGAAUAUUGGUCAAUGGACGAAAGUCUGAACCAGCCAUGCCGCGUGAAGGAUGACGGCCCUCUGGGUUGUAAACUUCUUUUAUAGGGGACGAAAAAAGGGUAUUCUUACUCACUUGACGGUACCCUAGGAAUAAGCACCGGCUAACUCCGUGCCAGCAGCCGCGGUAAUACGGAGGGUGCAAGCGUUAUCCGGAUUCACUGGGUUUAAAGGGUGCGUAGGUGGGUCUAUAAGUCAGUGGUGAAAUCUCCGAGCUUAACUCGGAAACUGCCAUUGAUACUAUAGGCCUUGAAUUAUCUGGAGGUAAGCGGAAUAUGUCAUGUAGCGGUGAAAUGCUUAGAUAUGACAUAGAACACCAAUUGCGAAGGCAGCUUACUACGGAUAUAUUGACACUGAGGCACGAAAGCGUGGGGAUCAAACAGGAUUAGAUACCCUGUAGUCCACGCCCUAAACUAUGGAUACUCGACAUCAGCGAUACACUGUUGGUGUNUGAGNGAAGANAUAGUAUCCACCGNGAGACGACGCGAGUAGUUAAGUUAUAAUUAGAGUAGNGCGNGNGAGNGCGAGACGACGACGAGGAGAGG
RNAcentral lists this ribosomal RNA (602 nucleotides) under uncultured bacterium. Its description in RNAcentral is "bacterial SSU rRNA". The stretch from base 1 to 531 matches the Rfam family "Bacterial small subunit ribosomal RNA", at positions 338 to 873 of the family's 1533-position model. The record is from RNAcentral.